CCUACGGGAGGCAGCAGUGAGGAAUAUUGGUCAAUGGCCGUAAGGCUGAACCAGCCAAGUCGCGUGAAGGAAGAAGGAUCUACGGGUUGUAAACUUCUUUUGUAGGGGAAUAAAGGUAUUCACGUGUGGCUAUUUGCAUGUACCCUAUGAAUAAGCAUCGGCUAACUCCGUGCCAGCAGCCGCGGUAAUACGGAGGAUGCGAGCGUUAUCCGGAUUUAUUGGGUUUAAAGGGUGCGUAGGUGGUGUUUUAAGUCAGCGGGAAAAUUUGGGGGCUCAACCCAAUAUUGCCGUUGAAACUGGGAGCCUUGAGUGCGUGAGAGGUAGGCGGAAUGCGUGGUGUAGCGGUGAAAUGCAUAGAUAUCACGCAGAACUCCGAUUGCGAAGGCAGCAUAC
RNAcentral lists this ribosomal RNA (393 nucleotides) under uncultured bacterium. Its description in RNAcentral is "partial 16S ribosomal RNA". It matches the Rfam family "Bacterial small subunit ribosomal RNA", at positions 338 to 729 of the family's 1533-position model. The record is from RNAcentral.